RNAcentral lists this ribosomal RNA (188 nucleotides) under uncultured bacterium. RNAcentral describes it as "partial 16S ribosomal RNA". It matches the Rfam family "Bacterial small subunit ribosomal RNA", at positions 1315 to 1500 of the family's 1533-position model. The record is from RNAcentral.
CCUUCAUGAAGCUGGAAUUGCUAGUAAUGGCAGGUCAGCAUACUGCCGUGAAUACGUUCCCGGGCCUUGUACACACCGCCCGUCACACCAUGAGAGUUGGGGGCGCCCGAAGCCACUUAGCUAACCCUUUUGGGAAGCGAGUGUCGAAGGUGAAAUCAAUAACUGGGGUGAAGUCGUAACAAGGUACC